GGCGGCGUGGUGUAGGUCGUGUAGGUUAAAGUUUAUUUAUAGCAUGAAAUUAAUUGUAAUGAACAAUUCAACAUUGUCAAGAUGUAUAUUAAUUCAAAACGCCAUAGGGUGCACUGCAGUAGAGAAUUAAAAACUAAUAUACUAGUAACAAACCAUUGAGAAGGAUGUUCCUGUUCAUUUUGCACUUGCUGAACACCGACAGCAGAACGGAUUCAAUUUGGUCAUUUGGUCUCAGCAAACUCUUAAAGCAGUCAUCACAUUUUUUGGCUACAGAAAAUGAUCUGGCCUUCCUAGCCACAUACCCUGCAAACAUCUCAAAUGCAUAC
Molecule: long non-coding RNA, 326 nt
Organism: Frankliniella occidentalis (western flower thrips)
Lineage: Eukaryota; Metazoa; Arthropoda; Insecta; Thysanoptera; Thripidae
Exons: 3
Source: RefSeq, a predicted model, not a curated record